Long non-coding RNA from Cyprinus carpio (common carp), 1882 nucleotides. The record is from Ensembl. NCBI's taxonomy places the organism in Eukaryota, Metazoa, Chordata, Actinopteri, Cypriniformes, Cyprinidae.
AUUUUUUUUUGGGGGGGGGGACAUCAUAUUUUUAGGUGUCACGGCGGGUACAUGUGUUAUACAUGUGUUUAAACCUGCAAUGACAAAAAGAUUUAAUGAUAAAUCAUUAUUUUAUUUUAUUUUACUUUCUUAACUCACAUUCUCUUUCACUCUGAAACUUGGGCUUGGGCUCAAAGGGGUUCAUGCUGGUUAUGUAAUUUAUAAUGAAAUAUUUUGUGUUAUACUAUACAAAACACAAAAUAGAAACAUUUUUAAUGAAUGCUCACAGACCUUUGGUCCUCCAUAGUCAGAGAAAAUAUCUUGUGUUAUGGUCCAUCUUAUAUUAUUUGGGCACAGCAAAAGUAGAGAUGCAUAUAAGCAAACCCUCAAAAAUGCACACCCUCACACUGUCUCUUCUACUCUCAUGAUGUGUCCUGCGAUUUCGGCAGAGGGCCGGUGCAUGUUGGCCAUGUGUGGGUUAAGCAGGAAGAGUUAGGGGCUGAGAGCACAUUCGGCUGGAUCCUGUCUACUUGUGUUCCCUGGCAGGGCUGCCGAGCUCGGUGUAUAGAAUCAGUGCACUUGACUGUAUCCAAGCAACCAUUCAUUAAUGCGGCCGACCCUGCAUGGGGCUUUGUGAGUCUCAGUUCAGAGAUGUGUGCUAUAGUCGCCGUACAGAGUAGUUAAGAACCAGUGAUUACCGAAAACAUGUCCCCACAGGAGCUGUGAAGAAAGGCUGGCAUGGUGGCGUUGAGCACAGAUUUCACAGAAUCAGGGUCUUUUAAGAGGAAGAAGAGAGUGAUGGAUGGAUGAGGAGAUGAGAUCAGAUGGAGCACUGCUGGAACUGUGGGAUACGGCGCACCUGGUGCCAAUUGUGCCUCAUCGACACUACUAUAAAUUCUUGUCACCAGCACCGGGUAAUAUGAACCCAAUUUCGAGGCCAGAGGUAGCAGCUAAAUCAUUACGCCACAACCAAAAUGAUCACCGCCAGGUCUCACGCCUAGAAAUAAAUGGUCUGUUCUGCCAUUCCCUUUUCCCUUUGAAGACACAAUGUGUCUUUUGUUAUCACAACUUUCACUUCCCAAGAUACUCUCUUUAUCUUUAAUUUAAUCUGGGGAGUAAAAGGAGGGAGGAGUCCUGCUAAUUUAUUCCUAAUCGAACAAGUCAAUUUCACAGUGAUGUCUUUUGAACUUCAUCCCUUUUUAGUAUGUACAGCACACGACUCUAUCACUGAGUUAUGCAACAAAAGGAUCAUGGAGGAACUUGAUAAAAUGCUUUUGCGCUCCCAGUUGUAUUAAGAGAGGUGAGAAGAGGAGGGCUGGAGAGAGAAGAGGGUGUGAAAAGAGAGGUGAAGAUAAGAGGGUGAAGGAGGAGGUGAAGAUGAAGAGCUCUUUGAGCUGGUGAAGACAGUGAUAUAAUUAUGUGAGAUUAUAUGCAAGAUUUUUUAAAUAUUCAAUAUUAUUCUGAAGUAAUCUAGAAAAAAAAACCUGUGGCCAGUGAGAAAAGAAUGUAAUUAAGGAAAAUGAACUGUUUUAUAGGAGGCAAACAGCUUUCCAAUGGCUUUUUGGAUCCCAGUGCAGGGGUUCAUUAUUGUGUAGGACAACCUCUCUUAAAGCUCAUUUCUAACGAACAAAAGCAGCCAUAAUUAUAACACAGCAGAACUCGGUUCUCAUUUACUUUUAACUCAGGAAGUAAAAUGUGUUUUUCCCAAGCGGUUUAUUGCAGACGUGUCUGCUCUAGUCGCACAGAUCGUGGUUUACACUGAAUGACAAUGAUUUCGCAUGCUGACUUCAUUUGGACACUUUCUAAGAUUAUUCAUAUUCCACAUUUCACAGACGACCAAGAUAUCGUCAGUACAAAACGUGCAUACUUAAAAUAAAAAUGUUUUGUUCCUAGAAAUAAAACA